UUACCGAUCCGUAGUUGGAUUCCAUAUUUGGUAACAUUGGUUUUAUUUGGUAAUGAUGUUUCAGGUUCAAUUACAAAUACUCUUGUGAAUUAUUCAUAUUUGAAUAAGUUGAUGUUAUCUAACAAUCACUUAAUAGUAGAAUACCUCAGGAAAUUGUUAGUUUAACUAGGCCUCAUAAGUUUUCUAUUGCUAAUAAUUAAUUUAGUGAAAAUAUUCCAUCAUUUUUCAAUGGUUCUGAUAAGGAUGAUUUUGAUGGGAAUAGUGAUUCAUAUGGUGGGCCAUUUGGUUCAAAGUUUGGUAAUAUGAGUAGGAAGAAUAUUGUUGAUGUUGGUGUUUUCGUGUAACAAGUUCUUUGUUGUUGGCUUUUGUCUUAUGGCAGUGGUAUCAUAUUACAAAGAAGAUAAAAGAGGCCGGUGUAAAGAGAGAGAGAUACGGUUAAACCUUCCACGUUUUCAAAAGUUGAAAAAAUUGGAGUUUGAAAACUCAAUUAUUUUAGAUUUAUUGUGAAUAAAAAUAAUAGGGAUCAGUUCCCCAUGUUUUGUUUAAUUAUUAUUAUUUUUUAAUCAAAUAUUUAUUAGGGUUAGAAUAUGUGGGUUAAUUGGGCCAUUUAGCAUUUGGUUUAGUGCUAUUUUACUUCAUUUGUGUUCUAAAUUGGAUUUUUAAUCCAUGUAUUCGACAAUUUUAUGUCGAUAUACAGUCAAAAUUUUAAUAUGUUAACAAAAUAUUUUCACCAUGUUAUAAUCUUGCGUGUGACAUUAAUCAUAUGUCAUUUCGUACAAACUAGUUUAUGAGCACAUUGUGAUUUACUUACUUCAAUCACUUGUAAUUAAAUUAAUUAAUUAAUCGAGAUUUAUUUAAAUAAGUUAAU
Molecule: long non-coding RNA, 868 nt
Filed under: Lathyrus oleraceus (garden pea)
Lineage: Eukaryota; Viridiplantae; Streptophyta; Magnoliopsida; Fabales; Fabaceae
Description: Pisum sativum (pea) long non-coding RNA (PSAT_LNC020743)
Source: RNAcentral